Molecule: ribosomal RNA, 407 nt
Filed under: uncultured Rhodoferax sp.
Lineage: Bacteria; Pseudomonadati; Pseudomonadota; Betaproteobacteria; Burkholderiales; Comamonadaceae
Description: bacterial SSU rRNA
Rfam family: Bacterial small subunit ribosomal RNA
Source: RNAcentral
AUGCCGCGUGCAGGAUGAAGGCCUUCGGGUUGUAAACUGCUUUUGUACGGAACGAAACGGUUCGCCUUAAUACGGUGGGCUAAUGACGGUACCGUAAGAAUAAGCACCGGCUAACUACGUGCCAGCAGCCGCGGUAAUACGUAGGGUGCGAGCGUUAAUCGGAAUUACUGGGCGUAAAGCGUGCGCAGGCGGUUAUAUAAGACAGAUGUGAAAUCCCCGGGCUCAACCUGGGACCUGCAUUUGUGACUGUAUAGCUAGAGUACGGUAGAGGGGGAUGGAAUUCCGCGUGUACAGUGAAAUGCGUAAAUAUGCGGAGGAACACCGAUGGCGAAGGCAAUCCCCGGGACCUGUACUGACGCUCAUGCACGAAAGCGUGGGGAGCAAACAGGAUAAAAUACCCUGGUAGA